CAGUAGCCACGGUAAUACGAAGGGUGCAAGCGUUAAUCGGAAUUACUGGGCGUAAAGCGUGCGUAGGCGGUAAGUUAAGUCUGCUGUGAAAUCCCCGGGCUCAACCUGGGAAUGGCAGUGGAUACUGGCUCGCUAGAGUGUGUCAGAGGAUGGUGGAAUUCCCGGUGUAGCGGUGAAAUGCGUAUAGAUCGGGAGGAACAUCAGUGGCGAAGGCGGCCAUCUUGGACAACACUGACGCUGAGGCACGAAAGCGUGGGGAGCAAACAGGAUUAGAUACCCGCGUAGUCCCUGUCUCUUAUAC
RNAcentral lists this ribosomal RNA (301 nucleotides) under uncultured bacterium. Its description in RNAcentral is "partial 16S ribosomal RNA". It matches the Rfam family "Bacterial small subunit ribosomal RNA", at positions 509 to 807 of the family's 1533-position model. The record is from RNAcentral.